GUGCCAGCAGCCGCGGUAAUACGUAGGUCCCGAGCGUUAUCCGGAUUUAUUGGGCGUAAAGCGAGCGCAGGCGGUUAGAUAAGUCUGAAGUUAAAGGCUGUGGCUUAACCAUAGUACGCUUUGGAAACUGUUUAACUUGAGUGCAGAAGGGGAGAGUGGAAUUCCAUGUGUAGCGGUGAAAUGCGUAGAUAUAUGGAGGAACGCCGGUGGCGAAAGCGGCUCUCUGGUCUGUAACUGACGCUGAGGCUCGAAAGCGUGGGGAGCAAACAGGAUUAGAUAC
RNAcentral lists this ribosomal RNA (280 nucleotides) under uncultured Streptococcaceae bacterium. RNAcentral describes it as "partial 16S ribosomal RNA". It matches the Rfam family "Bacterial small subunit ribosomal RNA", at positions 505 to 785 of the family's 1533-position model. Lineage: Bacteria; Bacillati; Bacillota; Bacilli; Lactobacillales; Streptococcaceae. The record is from RNAcentral.